GAUGAACGCUGGCGGCGUGCUUAACACAUGCAAGUCGAACGAAGCACUUUAUUUGAUUUCCUUCGGGACUGAUUAUUUUGUGACUGAGUGGCGGACGGGUGAGUAACGCGUGGGUAACCUGCCUUGUACAGGGGGAUAACAGUUGGAAACGGCUGCUAAUACCGCAUAAGCGCACAGCAUCGCAUGAUGCAGUGUGAAAAACUCCGGUGGUAUAAGAUGGACCCGCGUUGGAUUAGCUAGUUGGUGAGGUAACGGCCCACCAAGGCAACGAUCCAUAGCCGACCUGAGAGGGUGACCGGCCACAUUGGGACUGAGACACGGCCCAAACUCCUACGGGAGGCAGCAGUGGGGAAUAUUGCACAAUGGGCGAAAGCCUGAUGCAGCGACGCCGCGUGAGCGAAGAAGUAUUUCGGUAUGUAAAGCUCUAUCAGCAGGGAAGAUAAUGACGG
RNAcentral lists this ribosomal RNA (449 nucleotides) under uncultured bacterium. RNAcentral's name for it is "bacterial SSU rRNA". It matches the Rfam family "Bacterial small subunit ribosomal RNA", at positions 28 to 457 of the family's 1533-position model. The record is from RNAcentral.